This 71-nucleotide transfer RNA is filed under the name Cavia porcellus (domestic guinea pig). It matches the Rfam family "tRNA". Rfam says of the family: Transfer RNA (tRNA) molecules are approximately 80 nucleotides in length. Their secondary structure includes four short double-helical elements and three loops (D, anti-codon, and T loops). Further hydrogen bonds mediate the characteristic L-shaped molecular structure. tRNAs have two regions of fundamental functional importance: the anti-codon, which is responsible for specific mRNA codon recognition, and the 3' end, to which the tRNAs corresponding amino acid is attached (by aminoacyl-tRNA synthetases). tRNAs cope with the degeneracy of the genetic code in two manners: having more than one tRNA (with a specific anti-codon) for a particular amino acid; and 'wobble' base-pairing, i.e. permitting non-standard base-pairing at the 3rd anti-codon position. The record is from Rfam by way of RNAcentral. Lineage: Eukaryota; Metazoa; Chordata; Mammalia; Rodentia; Caviidae.
GGGGAUUUAGCUUAGUGGCAUAAGCACCUGCCUUGCAAGCAGGCGGUCGUGAGUUCGACCCCUGGUACCGA